CUCUAUAUUGACAGCAUUCUGGGAGUGAUGGAGAUGUUCAUUAUCUCAGUUAUGGUGACAGUUUCAGGGGAUUGUCCAUCUUACACACGGCUCCUGAUUACGAUGAUGCGAUGUCUCAGAGAAAAAACAACCACCUUCCCAAGACUCCAAAGAGAACAGACUCCUGUAAACAAACUGUUUUCAUCACUUGAAAGCACACUAAUAACAAAUGGAAUUAAAAAAAAAAAAACAGUCGGGGGUGAAGAGCA
Molecule: long non-coding RNA, 248 nt
Organism: Canis lupus familiaris (dog)
Lineage: Eukaryota; Metazoa; Chordata; Mammalia; Carnivora; Canidae
Exons: 2
Source: RefSeq, a predicted model, not a curated record